Molecule: transfer RNA, 71 nt
Filed under: Phrynosoma platyrhinos (Desert horned lizard)
Lineage: Eukaryota; Metazoa; Chordata; Lepidosauria; Squamata; Phrynosomatidae
Description: tRNA-OTHER
Source: RNAcentral
GGCAGCGUGGCAUAGUGGCUUGAGUGUUGAACUACAAUUCUGGAGACCAGGAUUCGAUUCCCAGCUUGUCC